Long non-coding RNA from Rhagoletis zephyria (snowberry fruit fly), 822 nucleotides. RefSeq lists it as uncharacterized. The record is from RefSeq and is a predicted model, not a curated record. Lineage: Eukaryota; Metazoa; Arthropoda; Insecta; Diptera; Tephritidae.
UGUCAUUUUAUCUGUCAUGUCCCUGUCCACAGUCUGAAGUCAGCAACACCCAUGUCCCCUCUAUUGCACUAGUGCAACACCCACACCAAACCAAUUAUCUUAGCAACUCAUUCUUAUAUCUUUUCAACUUCUCUACAUUGGAAUCUUUUAUUAAUUUCAAAAAUAACAAUACUAACUGCAAUAAUUUGACCUAUUACUAUAUGUAUAUACUAAAAGCUACAGCUUGACGAUUCAUUAAAUUCAAAUUCCUUGUUCUUAGACCUCAACUGAAAACUAAUUCAAACUAGAUGAUCUACACUUAUCUAACUAAGCCUUCAUUCGAAAGGAACCUGGCCCAAUAAUCAUGUACGCUGCUGUAGAUAUCUCAAAGCUACUACCUCUAUGUACAAAUUUCACAAGAAACCAAGAAUAUAGCACUCACCGGUCUCUCCAACGAUGAAGGCGCCUGCAUGCGGGAGACAGGUUGCUGAAAACAAAAAAAUAUGUACAUACGUAUGUACAAGCUUUCCAGCGAGUACGGGAAAAUAUGUGUUUAUCAUAGAUGGAGCAUAUUUGGGUCUACAAUGACAAAUGUCGAAGUGUCAAACUCAUUGGGACCACGCGCUUUGAUACGACACCUUUUGGAGGACAAAUUCUUUAGAUCUAAAUUAAAAUGGAUUCUCGAUUAAAAUAAAAAAACUACAAUUCAAUUCAACGGAACAGCUUCGCGGAAAACUCAACAAUAUAUGGGGGUAAGAAAAAAAAUAGUAAUAACUGCUACUAAACUAACCAAAAAACGGUAUGGAGAAAAAUUAAAACUUAGAUAUAGGAAUUCAUGCAAAG